AUGAGGACGCCAGUGAAAGACAUCCUAAAUAAGGUCCCGCUUACCACCUGUUUAGUUACUUUUCUACUGCUGUGGCAAAACAUCAUGACCAAAAGAAAGAAUAAAAGAAGCCGGGCGGUGGUGGUGCAGCAUGCCUUAGUGAUGGCACACACCUUCAGUCCCGGCACUCGGGAGGCAGAGGCUGGUGGAUCUCUGAGUUCAAGGCCAGCCUGGUCUACAAAGCAAGUUCCAGGACAGCCAGGGCUACACAGAGAAACCUUGACCCCACCCCCACCCCAACCAAUAAAUAAACCAAUAAAAUAAAUAAUUAUAGAUAAUGUGGUAGUUUGAAUGUAAUGUCACAGGGAGUGGCACUAUUAGGAGAUGUGGUUUUGUUGGAGUGGGUGUGGCCAUAUUGGAGGAAGUGCGUCACUGUGGGGCGGGCUUUGAGGUUUCCUACGCUCAGCAUUCUGCCCAGUGUCUUAGUUGACUUCCUGUUGCCUACAGGAUGCAGCUCUCUCAGCUCCAGCACCACAUCUGCCUGCAGCUGCCAUGCUCCCUGUCAUGAUGAUAACGGACUGAACCUCUGAAACUGUAGGUGAGCCUCCCUCAAUUAAAUGUUUUCUCUAUAAGAGUU
RNAcentral lists this long non-coding RNA (616 nucleotides) under Cricetulus griseus (Chinese hamster). Its description in RNAcentral is "lncRNA (ENSCGRG00000024693.1)". The record is from RNAcentral. Lineage: Eukaryota; Metazoa; Chordata; Mammalia; Rodentia; Cricetidae.